This 202-nucleotide long non-coding RNA is filed under the name Elaeis guineensis (African oil palm). RNAcentral describes it as "long non-coding RNA (EGUI_LNC067437)". The record is from RNAcentral. Lineage: Eukaryota; Viridiplantae; Streptophyta; Magnoliopsida; Arecales; Arecaceae.
GAGGCCAGAGUGAAUGCUGUUGAGAAUUGUAAAGGUAUAAUUGGUAAAGAGUUAUCUACUCUUGAACUCAUGAAUGCUUAUUGUGCUAUCCACAAGGUGUUUGUGAGGAAUAGAGAUCUCAAUCACACUAAAAGAUAUUAGAAUAUUUUUUGAUUUUCAUACUUGAGAGUUAUGAAGUUCGAUAAAAUAGUGGGAGAUACAA